CCUACGGGGGUCAGCAGUCGAGAAUCAUUCACAAUGGGGGAAACCCUGAUGGUGCGACGCCGCGUGGGGGAAUGAAGGUCUUCGGAUUGUAAACCCCUGUCAUGUGGGAGCAAAUUAAAAAGAUAGUACCCCAAGAGGAAGAGACGGCUAACUCUGUGCCAGCAGCCGCGGUAAUACAGAGGUCUCAAGCGUUGUUCGGAAUCACUGGGCGUAAAGCGUGCGUAGGCUGUUUCGUAAGUCGUGUGUGAAAGGCGCGGGCUCAACCCGCGGACGGCACAUGAUACUGGGAGACUAGAGUAAUGGAGGGGGAACCGGAAUUCUCGGUGUAGCAGUGAAAUGCGUAGAUAUCGAGAGGAACACUCGUGGCGAAGGCGGGUUCCUGGACAUUAACUGACGCUGAGGCACGAAGGCCAGGGGAGCGAAAGGGAUUAGAUACCCGUGUAGUC
Molecule: ribosomal RNA, 446 nt
Filed under: uncultured bacterium
Lineage: Bacteria
Description: partial 16S ribosomal RNA
Rfam family: Bacterial small subunit ribosomal RNA
Source: RNAcentral